GGUUGCAAUAAUGAAACGUGUUCGUCAUCCAAAUGUGGUUCUCUUCAUGGGUGCUGUUACAAAGCGUCCUCAUCUAUCAAUUGUGACAGAGUACCUGCCUCGGGGUAGCCUAUACCGCCACCGCCUAAUACACAGGCCUGCUGCUGGGGAAAUGCUGGAUCAGAGGCGGCGGUUACGAAUGGCACUGGAUGUGGCAAAGGGCAUCAAUUAUCUUCAUUGUCUGAACCCUCCUAUUGUUCACUGGGACCUUAAAUCUCCAAAUUUGUUGGUUGAUAAAAAUUGGACAGUAAAGGUGUGUGACUUUGGGUUGUCUAGAUUUAAAGCAAACACAUUUAUAUCAUCAAAAUCAGUAGCUGGAACACCCGAGUGGAUGGCUCC
Molecule: unclassified non-coding RNA, 378 nt
Filed under: Hevea brasiliensis (rubber tree)
Lineage: Eukaryota; Viridiplantae; Streptophyta; Magnoliopsida; Malpighiales; Euphorbiaceae
Source: RNAcentral